This 254-nucleotide ribosomal RNA is filed under the name uncultured bacterium. Its description in RNAcentral is "partial 16S ribosomal RNA". It matches the Rfam family "Bacterial small subunit ribosomal RNA", at positions 524 to 776 of the family's 1533-position model. The record is from RNAcentral.
GACGUAGGGUCUAAGCGUUGUCCGGAUUUACUGGGCGUAAAGCGCGCGUAGGCGGUCUGUUAAGUGCACAAGUGAAAGCUCCGGGCUCAACUCGGAAAUUGCUUUGCAUACUGGCAGGCUGGAGGGACGCAGAGGUCUGUGGAAUUCCUGGUGUAACGGUGAAGUGUGUUGAUAUCAGGAGGAACACCCAUGGCGAAGGCAGCAGACUGGGCGUUUCCUGACGCUGAGGCGCGAAAGCGUGGGUAGCAAACAGG